ACAUUUUUUUCCAUAUACUUUAGGGUUUGGGUUAGAGUUUUGAAUAAAUUUUAAAUACUUGUUUACGGUGGAUCUCUUGUCAUCUAGACACAUUAAUGAAGAUCAAUGAUCGACAUCACUUAUCGGAAGCUCUUUUUGAUUUUUAUAAUUGUAAUAACGAAUUAAUGAAGAUCAAUGAUCGACAUCACUUAUCGGAAGCUCUUUUUGAUUUUUAUAAUUGUAAUAACGAAUUAAUGAAGAUCAAUGAUCGACAUCACUUAUCGGAAGCUCUUUUUGAUUUUUAUAAUUGUAAUAACGAAUUAAUGAAGAUCAAUGAUCGACAUCACUUAUCGGAAGCUCUUUUUGAUUUUUAUAAUUGUAAUAACGAUUUAAUUGAUGUCAAUUUGAUAAAAAAAAUAAUAAUAAUUGUCUUUCAAAUUCAUCUCCUCUCGAAUAAACUGACAUCAAUAAGCUAUUGUUUUAGUUGUAAUGACUAAAAGAACCCUUAAGUAUACUUAUAAAAAAUAUUGUCAUUAAAGUUGUGUAAUUUAUAAAUACCGAUCAAUAGUGAAUCACCUAUGAAACUGAUUCACCUUAGAAUUUCCCUUCUUAUUUUAAUCAUUUUUUCUAGAAUUUUCCUUUCUUAUUUUAUUC
This 633-nucleotide long non-coding RNA is filed under the name Cicer arietinum (chickpea). RNAcentral describes it as "long non-coding RNA (CARI_LNC001673)". Lineage: Eukaryota; Viridiplantae; Streptophyta; Magnoliopsida; Fabales; Fabaceae. The record is from RNAcentral.